This 159-nucleotide non-coding RNA is filed under the name Lysinibacillus fusiformis. Lineage: Bacteria; Bacillati; Bacillota; Bacilli; Caryophanales; Bacillaceae. The record is from RNAcentral.
UAUAAAGGUUCUUUACUUAUGUAAAGUGAAAAGGGAAAUCGGUGUAAUUCCGAUGCGGUCCCGCCACUGUAAGUGUGAGUUUUUUUAAAUGAUGCCACUGAAGAUUUCGGGAAGGCUUGAAAAAACGUAAUGCACAAGCCAGGAGACCUGCCUUUAUAG